AUGCUCACUUUGGCAGCACAUAUACUAAAAUUGGAAUGAUAAAGAGAUCAGCAUGGCCCCUGUGCAAAGAUGACACAAUAUGUGAAGCAUUCCAUAUUUUU
This 101-nucleotide small nuclear RNA is filed under the name Phascolarctos cinereus (koala). Lineage: Eukaryota; Metazoa; Chordata; Mammalia; Diprotodontia; Phascolarctidae. The record is from RNAcentral.